Molecule: unclassified non-coding RNA, 2099 nt
Filed under: uncultured fungus
Lineage: Eukaryota; Fungi
Description: sequence contains 18S rRNA gene, ITS1, 5.8S rRNA gene, ITS2, 28S rRNA gene
Rfam family: Eukaryotic large subunit ribosomal RNA (bases 981-2099)
Source: RNAcentral
GGAGGGAUCAUUAACACGUAUCCAACACGUUAUAAACACCCAAAACGGUCUCUUUUGUUCCCAUAGAGAAUAGGGGUCUAGUAAGCCAUAGAUGGAUUGCCUUUGGUCAAACAAAAUUUAAACUCUUUUGUUUGGUCAAAACUCUACUUACAGACUAUCGAACCUUUGAGUUUCACCCUAUUUUUUAUGGCGUAAACCCAAGCCAUCUGGUUAUUAGUGCCAAACCGGUUCCGACCCGGAGCCUAAUAACCUUAUGAAUCCUUUAUUUUUUACCCCUUUAUUUUUAAUAAAAUACUCUGACUUAACUACCAUAUAAACCUAUCAGGAUUAUAUUGUGUUAUACGAAACGCGAACAACUCUUAGCAACGGAUAUCUUGGUUCUCGUACCGAUGAAGAACGCAGCGAAAUGCGAUACGUAAUGCGAAUUGCAGAAUUCAGUGAAUCAUUAAAUCUUGAACGCAAAUUGCGCUCUUGGGAUAGACCUGGGAGCAUGCCCCUCUGAGUAUCGGUUCUAACCAAUCUCGACAGCGUUUUGCUUAUUUAUUUAGGCGAAUUGCUGACGGAAAAUGAGUGUCAAGAUUUCUGAACGAAUCAUGUCACUUGAAAGAUAUAGGAAACUUCAGAACUCCUAGUAGCAAUUCCUUUAUUAAUAAAGGAUAGCCCCGUUGCAUAUCUCGUUUACUUGAAAAUCAAUUUAUUUUAUUAUUAUUAUCAAAAAUGACAGGAUACGGCUGGCUUGUUUACUGGUGACGUGGAUAGAAUUCCCUUUGGGAAAUUUCAAAACGUCAAUGCCAUUAAGUGAGUCCAGUUUAUAUAUUUUGUUGUAUUAUCUUAAUAAAAGUGUUCAGUAUAUGAGUAGAGUAAGCGCCAAUGAGUAUAUGCAUGGGUGUGAUAAAGCUCUGGUUGAGCCACUGUUUGUUUUAUCAGGGAAAACAAAACCAUUAAGUACUACUAUUGUAGUAUUUAAUACUCUUUGAAUUAGAUCUCAGAUGGAGCAAGAGGACCCCCUGAAUUUAAGCAUAUUAUUAAGGGGAGGAAAAGAAACUAACAAGGAUUCCCCUAGUAACGGCGAGUGAAGCGGGAAGAGCUCAAAUUGAAAAUCGGCAACCCAUGCGGGUUGUCGAAUUGUAGCCUAGAGACGCAUUGUCAGCGUGUGACCCAGGUAUAAAUCUUUUGAAACAAGGUAUCAUAGAGGGUGAGAAUCCCGUCUUUGACCUGGAGAUCGCCGCGUACGACAUGCGUUCGUAGAGUCGAGUUGUUUGGGAUUGCAGCUCUAAAUGGUGGUAAAUUUCAUCUAAAGCUAAAUAUCGACGAUGAGACCGAUAGCGAACAAGUACCGUGAGGGAAAGAUGAAAAGAACUUUGAAAAGAGAGUUAAAAAGUACUUGAAAUUGUUAAGAGGGAAGCGCUGGAAACCAGUCAUUACUUGUAGCUAUACUUACUAUUUGCUCUCGAAGAAUGGUUGCAGAUCAGAGCGUAAGCCUGAACGGAUCAUUGGACGAAGGGUGAGUGGGUCCUGUAGUUAUGAGUGGGUCAGAAUCAAUUUGAUUGGCGGGUGAAGACUAUGAGGAAGGUAGGGUCCCCGGACCUGUUAUAGCCUUAUAGGACCUACCGUCGAUUGGAUUGAGGAUGUAUCAAUGUGCGCCGCAAGGUUUCGGUUGCUUGCUUCUGCUGAGUUAGAUGCUUUGGAGAACAAUGUUCUGCGGGUAUCGAAGCUUGGUACUAAGUAGGACAAUCAGAUGCACAUUCGCGAUUCUGACGAAAUGGUUUUCAUCGACCCGUCUUGAAACACGGACCAAGGAGUCUAACAUGUAUGCGAGUAUUUGGGUGGAAAACCCUGAUGCGUAAUGAAAGUGAAGGCAGUUUCGGCUGCUGAGGUAGGAAUCCGCUUGCGGAGGCACUAUCGACCGAUCGUCACUUGUGAUAGAUUUGAGUAAGAGCAUAUCUGUUGGGACCCGAAAGAUGGUGAUCUAUGCUGAACAGGGUGAAGCCAGGGGAAACUCUGGUGGAGGCUCGUAGCGAUACUGACGUGCAAAUCGUUCGUCUGAUUUGGGUAUAGGGGCGAAAGACUAAUCGAACCAUCUAGUAGCUGGUUCCCUC